Molecule: ribosomal RNA, 492 nt
Filed under: uncultured bacterium
Lineage: Bacteria
Description: partial 16S ribosomal RNA
Rfam family: Bacterial small subunit ribosomal RNA
Source: RNAcentral
AGUGAACGCUGGCGGUAGGCCUAACACAUGCAAGUCGAACGGCAGCACAGUAAGAGCUUGCUCUUACGGGUGGCGAGUGGCGGACGGGUGAGGAAUACAUCGGAAUCUACUUUUUCGUGGGGGAUAACGUAGGGAAACGUACGCUAAUACCGCAUACGACCUCCGGGUGAAAGCAGGGGAUCUUCGGACCUUGCGCGAUUGAAUGAGCCGAUGUCGGAUUAGCUAGUUGGCGGGGUAAAGGCCCACCUAGGCGACGAUCCGUACCUGGUCUGAGAGGGUGAUCAGCCACACUGGAACUGAGACACGGUCCAGACUCCUACGGGAGGCAGCAGUGGGGAAUAUUGGACAAUGGGCGCAAGCCUGAUCCAGCCAUACCGCGUGGGUGAAGAAGGCCUUCGGGUUGUAAAGCCCUUUUGUUGGGAAAGAAAAGCAGCAGGUUAAUACCCCGCUGUUCUGACGGUACCCAAAGAAUAAGCACCGGCUAACUUCGUG